GUUCUUGGCAUCCCACAUUUGUUGUGUUAGCUCUGGGACUGUUAGUGCUCGGUACUGCUGUGAUCCUCGAGAGGUCAGGGGUGCAAAUCCUACCAUGAAGAAAUGAAGUCUUGGGAAUGGGAUUAAGUUCACUGCUAGCUUCCUCAGGUCUGAAUUUAGCUGGCCCGGAAAGCGCAAGCAGCAAGUUACUCCACUCAUUGUUGCUGAUAUCAAAUGAUU
Molecule: unclassified non-coding RNA, 219 nt
Filed under: Hevea brasiliensis (rubber tree)
Lineage: Eukaryota; Viridiplantae; Streptophyta; Magnoliopsida; Malpighiales; Euphorbiaceae
Source: RNAcentral